CCUACGGGUGGCAGCAGUCGAGAAUCAUUCACAAUGGGGGAAACCCUGAUGCUGCGACGCCGCGUGGGGGAAUGAAGGUCUUCGGUUUGUAAAUUCCUGUCAUGUGGGCGCAAAUUAAAAAGAUAGUACCACAAGAGGAAGCGACGGCUAACUCUGUGCCAGCAGCCGCGGUAAUACAGAGGUCUCCAGCGUUGUCCGGAAUCACGGGGCAGAAAGCGUGCGUAGGCGGUUUCGUAAGUCAGAUGUGAAAGGCGCGGGCUCAACCCGCGGACGGCACAUGAUACUGGAGGGCUAGAGUAAUGGAGAGGGAGACGGAAUUCUCGGUGUAGCAGUGAAAUGCGUAGAUAUCGGGAGGAACACUCGUGGCGAAGGCGGGUUGCUGGACAUUAACUGACGCUGAGGCACGAAGGCGAGGGGAGCGAAAGGGAUUAGAUACCCCGGUAGUC
RNAcentral lists this ribosomal RNA (446 nucleotides) under uncultured bacterium. Its description in RNAcentral is "partial 16S ribosomal RNA". It matches the Rfam family "Bacterial small subunit ribosomal RNA", at positions 338 to 795 of the family's 1533-position model. The record is from RNAcentral.